RNAcentral lists this small RNA (5498 nucleotides) under Pan troglodytes (chimpanzee). RNAcentral describes it as "retained intron". The record is from RNAcentral. Lineage: Eukaryota; Metazoa; Chordata; Mammalia; Primates; Hominidae.
UGCAGGGGAAUUUGUCAUCACUUUUCCUCGUGCUUACCACAGUGGUUUUAACCAAGGCUACAAUUUUGCUGAAGCUGUCAACUUUUGUACUGCUGACUGGCUACCUGCUGGACGCCAGUGCAUUGAACACUACCGCCGGCUCCGGCGCUAUUGUGUCUUCUCCCACGAGGAGCUCAUCUGCAAGAUGGCUGCCUUCCCAGAGACGUUGGAUCUCAAUCUAGCAGUAGCUGUGCACAAGGAGAUGUUCAUUAUGGUUCAGGAGGAGCGACGUCUACGAAAGGCCCUUUUGGAGAAGGGCGUCACGGAGGCUGAGCGAGAGGCUUUUGAGCUGCUCCCAGAUGAUGAACGCCAGUGCAUCAAGUGCAAGACCACGUGCUUCUUGUCAGCCCUGGCCUGCUACGACUGCCCAGAUGGCCUUGUAUGCCUUUCCCACAUCAAUGACCUCUGCAAGUGCUCUAGUAGCCGACAGUACCUACGGUAUCGGUACACCUUGGAUGAGCUCCCCACCAUGCUGCAUAAACUGAAGAUUCGGGCUGAGUCUUUUGACACCUGGGCCAACAAAGUGCGAGUGGCCUUGGAGGUGGAGGAUGGCCGUAAGCGCAGUGAGUGACGGGAAAUGGAAGGAACCCUUGUGAUGGACACUCCACAGCUGACCUUGACUGAACUCCGGGUCCUUCUUGAGCAGAUGGGCAGCCUGCCCUGUGCCAUGCAUCAGAUUGGGGAUGUCAAGGUUCUUUCCUGGAAGUGGCGGAGAUAUGUGUUCCCAUACCAUCUCUGUCUUUACAGCAUGCAAGGAAAUAUCCUUCCAUACUGAAAUAAUUAAAAACUCUAAACUGGGCCUACAUAAGACACUGGCUCUUGGAAAUGGGAUGGAGAGGACUGAUUGGUUGGUUGGUUGAUUUCCCUCCAGAUACCAGAGUCUUAGAAAGCUUACUAGAUGGAUAAGAUUGUAUUAAAGUGGGUUUGGAAAAAGAAAUUCAGGUAAUUAAAGGAGAAAAAUGUCAUUCUAGGUAAACAGAGGGCCUUUGUUAUUAUCAGAUAGAUCAUGUUUUAGGAUGUGGUUGAGAAUAAGUGUUAAGCAAUAGGAAAUGCCUAUAAGAGAAGAUGAGAAGUGGAGCAAAUCUAGGUGGUUGAGUAUUUAUGUGGCUAAAGAAUCUGCAUUUUAUGCUAUGUCCUUGCAGGAUGUCCUGGAACAGGUGGAGGCCUAUCAAGCUGAGGCUCGUGAGGCUCUGGCCACACUGCCCUCUAGUCCAGGGCUAUUGCGGUCCCUGUUGGAGAGGGGGCAGCAGCUGGGUGUAGAGGUGCCUGAAGCCCAUCAGCUUCAGCAGCAGGUGGAGCAGGCGCAAUGGCUAGAUGAAGUGAAGCAGGCCCUGGCCCCUUCUGCUCACAGGGGCUCUCUGGUCAUCAUGCAGGGGCUUUUGGUUAUGGGUGCCAAGAUAGCCUCCAGCCCUUCUGUGGACAAGGCCCGGGCUGAGCUGCAAGAACUACUGACCAUUGCAGAGCGCUGGGAAGAAAAGGCUCAUUUCUGCCUGGAGGCCAGGCAGAAGCAUCCACCAGCCACACUGGAAGCCAUAAUUCGUGAGACAGAAAACAUCCCUGUUCACCUGCCUAACAUCCAGGCUCUCAAAGAAGCUCUGACUAAGGCACAAGCUUGGAUUGCUGAUGUGGAUGAGAUCCAAAAUGGUGACCACUACCCCUGUCUGGAUGACUUGGAGGGCCUGGUGGCUGUGGGCCGGGACCUGCCUGUGGGGCUGGAGGAGCUGAGACAGCUAGAACUGCAGGUAUUGACAGCACAUUCCUGGAGAGAGAAGGCCUCCAAGACCUUUCUCAAGAAGAAUUCUUGCUACACACUGCUUGAGGUGCUUUGCCCGUGUGCAGACGCUGGCUCAGACAGCACCAAGCGUAGCCGGUGGAUGGAGAAGGCGCUGGGGUUGUACCAGUGUGACACAGAGCUGCUGGGGCUGUCUGCACAGGACCUCAGAGACCCAGGCUCUCUGAUUGUGGCCUUCAAGGAAGGGGAACAGAAGGAGAAGGAGGGUAUCCUGCAGCUGCGUCGCACCAACUCAGCCAAGCCCAGUCCACUGGCACCAUCCCUCAUGGCCUCUUCUCCGACUUCUAUCUGUGUGUGUGGGCAGGUGCCAGCUGGGGUGGGAGCUCUGCAGUGUGACCUGUGUCAGGACUGGUUCCAUGGGCAGUGUGUGUCAGUGCCCCAUCUCCUCACCUCUCCAAAGCCCAGUCUCACUUCAUCUCCACUGCUAGCCUGGUGGGAAUGGGACACAAAAUUCCUGUGUCCACUGUGUAUGCGCUCACGACGGCCACGCCUAGAGACAAUCCUAGCCUUGCUGGUUGCCCUGCAGAGGCUGCCCGUGCGGCUGCCUGAGGGUGAGGCCCUUCAGUGUCUCACAGAGAGGGCCAUUGGCUGGCAAGACCGUGCCAGAAAGGCUCUGGCCUCUGAAGAUGUGACUGCUCUGUUGCGACACCUGGCUGAGCUUCGCCAACAGCUACAGGCCAAACCCAGACCGGUCUACACUUCAGCCACUGCCUGUGACCCUAUCAGAGAAGGCAGUGGCAACAAUAUUUCUAAGGUCCAAGGGCUGCUGGAGAAUGGAGACAGUGUGAUCAGUCCUGAGAACAUGGCUCCAGGAAAGGGCUCUGGUAAGACAGGUGUGGUUUGGGUAGGCUGUUGGCUAAACAUAACUGAGUGACCCAUGUAUUUGUCACCUCUGUUGUGGCCAUGGAGGAUAAGACCAAGAGUGGCCUCUAACCCAGUCUGUCCCUGCACCCUUCACUGCACCACCUUCCGCCCAGACCUGGAGCUACUGUCCUCACUGUUGCCGCAGUUGACUGGCCCUGUGUUGGAGCUGCCUGAGGCAAUCCGGGCUCCCCUGGAGGAGCUCAUGAUGGAAGGGGACCUGCUUGAGGUGACCCUGGAUGAGAACCACAGCAUCUGGCAGCUGCUGCAGGCUGGACAGCCUCCAGACCUGGACAGAAUUCGCACACUUCUGGAGCUGGAAAAAUUUGAACAUCAAGGGAGUCGGACAAGGAGCCGGGCUCUGGAGAGGCGACGGCGGCAGCAGAAGGUGGAUCAGGGUAGAAACGUUGAGAAUCUUGUUCAACAGGAGCUUCAGUCAAAAAGGGCUCGGAGCUCAGGGAUUAUGUCUCAGGUGGGCCGAGAAGAAGAACAUUAUCAGGAGAAAGCAGACCGUGAAAAUAUGUUCCUGACACCUUCCACAGACCACAGCCCUUCCUUGAAAGGAAACCAAAAUAGCUUACAACACAAGGAUUCAGGCUCUUCAGCUGCUUGUCCUUCUUUAAUGCCUUGGCUACAACUCUCCUACUCUGAUGAGCAACAGUUGUGACAGUGGCACCAAAGGUCAUUUGUGGUUGUUUUUGUUUGUUUGUUUCUUAAAUCCUACUAUCUCCUGGCCUGGACCUCAGAAGGAGCUUAUUGCCUAUCUAUAAUUUUUCACUGCCAAUUUUUGAUAUCCUCUCUCCUAGAGUUACUGUUAAAAGGUUGGUUCUUAAAAGUCCACACUCCAAUGCUCAGAAGUGUCUUGCCAGCAACAUUCCUGCUAGCAUACAGGAGUGAUUUCCUAAACCAGUUUCAUUCUAGUCUGAAUAGGGACAAACAAAUCUUGAGGAAGCCCAAGUGCGUACCUUUAUUUUUGCCCCCACCACCCUCUUUCUGUACUUCAAUUUUUGUUUGUUUUUUGUUUUUUUGUCCCUGUCAUAAAAUAUUUUGGUGCUUCAAAACUUGUACCUUCAUUGUACAUCCUUUUCUUUUCUCCCCUUGGGUCUUAUUAUAAAAGAAGACAAUGUACGUUGUAAUUACUUGUAAAGACCAAAAAGAAUAGAGAAAAACAAGAAUUUCAUGACUCUACCUGUGGUCUAUCUUUAAUUUCAUUUCUUUUGUUAAAAAUAAAACAAUGAGUAUGUUUGGAUACUAUGAAUAUGAUUUGAACUUGUUAAAGUGUACGAGUGAAGGACUGAGGUUAGGAAACAGCAGUAGCAUGGAUCAACGUAAUUUUUAAUAGUCUUUUUCAGGGGAGUGGGGAAGGGUAAAUUUUUCUUAGAAAACAUACAUGAGACUUAGGCCAAGGUUAAUGUUUUCUCAAAGGAUGUCCAGUUGACCCAGCACCAGCAGUAGAAAACUUACCUGUCCUACACUUAAUUGCUUUGUGCUUUUUAUUGAAAAUCUGUUGGCUGGACUUGCAUGUGCCAAUAUCUGAGUUAACUUGUUGCAUUGCAUCAUUGAACUAUGUGUCUGUCCCCUGUGGCCAGAUCACAAUGUCUUGGUUACAGUCGCUUUAUAGUAAGUCUUACAUCAGGGUAGACAGAUUCAUCUCAGUUUUUUGUUUUUCAGAUUGUUUUAGCAAGUUAAGUCACCAGCUCUCUUUUUCAUUAUGUAGUUGCUUUUGUGUCCUAAAUCUGAUUGCGUUGCACUGACACAAGUUAUCUCCCUCAGUAUUUUCUGUUCUUUCAACUGGUGAAUACAAUAGCUAAUCUAAAUCAUUUGUUGUAAGAAUUCAGUAGGAUUGAUGUGUAAAUAUUUCAGGUAAAACCACUAUAUUAGUAUACCACUAAUUCAAUUCAUGGUUCUUGUUUUGUGUGUCUCUGGGUGAUCUAAUAAUAUAGACUAUAUUAUACUUCUCUUAAUCCCUUUUAGUGAAUGCAUUCUGUCAUCCUGGAUUGAAUCUCUCGCUUUUCCACCUACUCUUUGCUGACUUGAGUCAGUGUAGAUCACGUUACUACCCAUAGCAUUUCUCAUGCCUAUAAUCAUACUUACCUUCCUUAUUGUCUACUCUUUUCACCUCUUUCUUUCUUUGAUACUGUCAUAGGGAACUAUAAUUAGCUUUCCCAGUAACAAAGCUAUGCUUGGUGAUGACCUAGUAGAGUAGAAAUUGCUUCACCUGUCCAAGUACAGUGUACUUUACCUUAACACACCAUAGGGGCCAGGUAAAAUAGAUAGAAAAUCCUGAGAUAAUUUAUCUAAAUCUGAGAAUUGUCUUCGAAAUUUCUUUUUUCUCCUCUUCCAUAAAUAGGAGGAAAGUCAUCAUUCUCAAGCCAUUACAGAUUCUCUGACACUUGUUAAUGGAAAAUUCUGAUGAGGCAUGAUGAGAACUUCUGCCUAUAAAAAUCUCACUAAAGUUCUGAGUCACAAAUUGUUCAAAUACUUCACAGUAAGCAGGCAAUCCAAAUUCAGGACAGUUGUACACCUUUCUUAGGUUGCCUCCCCUAAUUGGGGCUGUAUUUGACAUGAGGGGCCAGUUUUGACACUUUUUAAAACCAUACACAAGGGUGCAGCACUAAGUUUUUGCACAUAGGCAAGAAUUUAUCUUGUGAUUAGAAGUUAGUUAUAUGUUCAUUAAGAAACAUGACGAAAUCUGCAACAAAAAUUGAAUUUCACAGGCCAUUCAGUGUUCUCUGCGAUAAUUCUAAUUCAGAAAAAAAUUGAAUCUUGGUUUUAAAAAAUUGUAAUAAAACUUUACCACUGGUAA